Molecule: long non-coding RNA, 2395 nt
Filed under: Capsicum annuum
Lineage: Eukaryota; Viridiplantae; Streptophyta; Magnoliopsida; Solanales; Solanaceae
Description: long non-coding RNA (CANN_LNC014982)
Source: RNAcentral
UCGACAUCUUUUCACUACGAUUCCGAGCAUUGUAAUUAUCAGAACAUAAACCCCGUUUAGAGUUGUUUCCAAAAUACCCAAUUCAUUUAACCAUUAGGAAGGCCAAGCCAGUUUAUCAAGGCCUAUCAUUCAACCCAAGCGCAUAUGCAUCUUUAUAAAAAAAAAAUUCAAAUCAAAAUGGACAAACAAAACAAACAAAGCAGCUAAGGAAAAAUUAUCACAAAAAUGCAGCUAUGGUUCGACCUACAACAAAAGUUAGAAGGAAUUCACCAGCUAUUCGUGGUUAAAGAAAUUAUCGUACAACCACAAUUUCUAAUUGACAAGAGUAUCCAUGUAUUUGUUUGCAACAUAUUGACACCCACCAACCAUUUUGGGGGAAUGAAUACUUCACUGGAAUGUAUUAUACAUGGUAAGAAAUGAAAUCAAAAUAAUAUAAACGAAUGGAUAAAUAAAAAAUGAUGUUUGAGCCACAACGUACUAAACAAAUUGAUGAAUUGGAGCAGGAAACUACAAGGAAAAUCACUAAUUACAAACUGAAACAAUUUAAUAUAUCAAAGCAUUAUUUUAGCAAAUAUUUGGAAUAGCUUCAUUCCCACUUAACGGAUUUGUUUUGCCUUGCUGCAAAUCCAUGACCAUUGGAAAAUCCUCGGCUUCGGAACUUUUUUAAAUCACAUUAACAAACAAUCAACUCAAACCAUUUAAAACCUAACAUCAACCUCUAGCUAGUUACGAAGACACAAUUAACAUCAGCAACGAAACAUGUUUAAGUGCUAUACAAAUCAGGCUAAGUCAUAGGGAAAAAGAACGAAAACAAAAGCAACCACUUGAGUUAUAUCACUUUUAGACGGGUAAAGACACGAAAAUCAAAUCCCUCAAUGCAUCGAAAAACCAAUGAAAUAAACAUUUUUAAACCGUCAAGGUUUACGGAAUAAUGACAAACACUCAACAGAUGUCUUAAAAAAAACCUUCCAAGAGUGAGAACACCUUCAGGAUAAUCUUACAAAUUCAGAGUGGCAAUGUAUUAAAGCUUAAAUCGUUAUUCAGAAACACACCAAUGAUUGAAUCAAAACACCAUUUUCAGUCUUGGAAAUUUCAAAUAUCAUUGAAUAAUAUCAAUCAUGCAAGCACAACAGUAAGAACAAAACAACAUUCAAGAUUCUCAUACCAAUUGUGAGGAAAGAAACAGUAAGCAAUAAUGCGACCUGAACGCUAUUAUCACUACAAAAUUCAUGAAUCAUUUCAAUUAUUUCAGGAUGACAACGAGAUCACAAAAUCUUCAUCAUAUAAAACCUAUGGCCUGCCAAGCCUCGUACAACAGUUAAUUCCCAGCACAAAGAUUAUCGCAAAUAUCGUUAUAUCUAUAGAAUGGUGAGAUGAAGCAGAAAUGAACGAAACUAAAUGGAAUGGGGAGUUACCUAUUUUGUGGCAGCAAAACAAGACUUUCAAGCUAAUAUCAAAUUUCAAUACUACCGGAGAUCGACUUCUCUAGAGUUUCGAGCAAUUCGAUGACUAGCCCUCUCGACCAAUUUUCAGCCCUCAAGAUUUCUAGCAAUUUUUCCUGACCCCCUCGAUUUUCUAUCAAUUUUUUCCCAACCCUCAAUUUCAAAUUCUGAAGGGAAAAAAGAGGAGAGUAAAAAAAUCAAUCCCUUAGCUUUUUUGAAUCCCUAAUUUCCAACCCAAACUUUUGAACUCUCCCAUCACCAACCUACUUUUCGAAACCCCAGGAUUUUUCCCCCUCUCAAAUAGUGAACCAAUCGGUUCUUAUAUAGAAGACCGAAUGAGGGGUCAUUUUGGGAUUUGAAAAGAGAAUAUUUUUGAAUUUUUGGGUUUUGGAUAAGAUUUCCCGUUCAAUAUCGGUACCAAUUUGGAAUUUUUCUCCAACAAUUCAAAAUAAUUAACCAAUAAGGGAUGAGGAAUCGAAAUUCCCUCAUGAACCAAUCAAAAAUCACCAAAAAUAUACGAAUUCGUACCGAUUAUUUCGAGAUUUGCGGAGUUGAGCUGUUGGGGGUGACACCUAGCUUGUUUCCAAAAGGUUCAAGACUGAUUUUGAUGGUUCAUAAUCGUGGGUUCGGGUCAGAUUUCGCUGGUGUUGGAGCUGUUUGUUGAUGGAGACGGGUCAAAGCUGGUUCGGAAGGCUGGGUUCACCGAAUUUUUGAUUGGGGGUUAUCGGAUUCGGGUAGUUUUUGACAAUGUUGUACGCAGCUCGUUGUUGCUGUCCUUUAUUUUGGGGAUUUGGCUAAGUGGAGCUUCUGUGUUGAAGGAAAUAGGAGAGUGGGCCGGGUUAAGGCCUAUUUGGGCUAAUUUUUAGGCUUGUUUAAUUGAAAAGUGAGAAAUGGGCUGCUGUUUGAAGAAAAUAUGAAAUGGGCCCAGGUGUUUUGGCAAAAUUGGGUUUAAC